Molecule: long non-coding RNA, 5505 nt
Filed under: Pan troglodytes (chimpanzee)
Lineage: Eukaryota; Metazoa; Chordata; Mammalia; Primates; Hominidae
Description: lincRNA
Source: RNAcentral
AGACCGGGUGGGACCGGACCGCGGUUUGAGUCCAAGCCCAGCGGUGUUUGCGGCGGGUCCGGGGCCUGGAAGCGCGGGGGCGGCGCCGAGAACGAAACUGGAAAAUGGCCUUCAUUGGAAAAGCCCCAGUCCUCGGGGAGCAGAUCCCCCAUCUCUGGCAGUGCAGUGCGCCUGGGAGCUGUCUGGAACAUUCCGCAACGGUCACUCCUCUGCCCUGCAUUGGCCUUGACCACAUGACCCAGAGGUGCAGGGAGAAGCCUCCCUUGGAUGCUUGGCGAGUGAGUUCAGCGGCUGAGAGUGUCUAAGGAGAGCCGGGAACACCGCACGCUUCCUGCAGAUGGCGGGGCAGACCUGUGUGCAAGAGUGCCUGAAGGGGAUCUCCUGUGGCGCUACCUGGUCACUUUCCAAAAAGGGAGUUUCCAGGCCAGAAGCCAUCCCUGCAGCAUUGUCUUUGUGCUCCAAGAGAAGCCCUGGCACACACUUCUGCUCAGAUGGAACCACUGUUCCCUCAGUGUCCUUGUCAGUACCAGCUGGUGACUUUCCUACUCAAACCCUUCCCUCACUCUCUGCCUCAUUUUCUCAAGGUGCCGUGUUUGCCUGAAAGGACAUUGGCAGCCAGCAGGGGCGGCGGCUGGUCCUCUAGAUGGGCACGAAUGCCAUUGGCAGGCAAUGGGGCAGACUCCAUGGAAAGAUGCUUCCCUUCCUCAAGGUAUGCACUCAGCGGGGAGACCUCAUUGUCAAGUUCAGAGUUACGCUGCAGACUGCACAGCACCUCGCCUGCUUCUAGGGCCUGCUCCGGUCAGCCCAGGACCCACCACAGCAGGACCCCCCAUCCUGUGCUCACCCGGGGCUUGUCCAUGGCACUGGAAACUCCUUCCUGUUCCUGAUCCCCCUCUGGGCGAGGGGUGGGCAGGGACAUGUGGCUCGUGCCGAGGUCUAAUACUGUGUUCCCAGCAUGGAAGCAGGUGGGGACACUUCCUGUGGCAUGCAGGAUUCCGUGUAGAAAACUGUGACUGUCACCCCUCCUCCCCACUCAGUUUUGUUAGUGGACCUUUCCCUGGCCCUUCUCUCCUUGGCCCCCUCUUGGCAGGAGAGAGGAGGAGAGGAUCUCACUUUCCCCCUGUACCAGCCACACCCUCGGUCUGCGGGGUUCCCAGCAGCUGGCCAGGGAUGCUCCACACCUGGAGAUCAAGUAACCGUCCCCUCACUCUGGGCAUCGGUGCCCUCUCUGGGGUUGGAACAGGAAAGAAAGCCAAGACCUGUAUGUGGGACUUGAGUUGAGACUCAAUUCUGUAGAGUCAGGGGUGAGGAGGAGCCAGGCCUCCUGUGUGCUCUCCCUACCCCAGAGCCGGGUGCCCAGUUCCAUGGGUCCUGAUGGACAGAAGGGAAGAACAGGGGGGCUGCUGCACCGUGGGUGGUAAUGCAGUGGGAGCCACCUCCAGCUGAAUGCCCAGGGACUCCUGGGGCUGCUGGCCCCGGGUCCCAGCAGUGGGUCCUGUUUCUUCUUUACUCUCGGAAUGCAGGAUCUGCCACACCAAAACGUCCCCUCCACAUUUGGUGAAAUAGGAAGCUCCAUGGCAUGCCUUCCAUCUUUCAAGGUGACUGAGAGGUUUAUUUUCAUAGGAGCCUCAGUGGCCUUGUCCGUACCCACCUCUGCACGUGGUUGCAGAAAGUGAAGGAUUGUCAGGGAGCAGGGCAGACAUUUGGUUUAUCUGUGUCAUUGGUCAAAGUUUUGUUUUUCCUCCAGAAGAAAAAGGCUUGUGAACAUGCCACCGUAUUCUUCAUUCCUUCUUUUGGAAAUGUACGAAGAACGGGUGGCAUUUUGGAGUUAUUGGCCUGUGAACAGCUGGCCCAGAGGAAGGGUUGGAUGUGGGUGGGUGUGGCCGCCUCUGCCCCUCCCCAGCGCAGGUGUGUGUGGGCAGCCCAGGCAGGCGCUCAGGAAGGGUGAGGUGGAGCCCUGCACGCUCUGAGCACAAAGUCCUGGGAUCCCUUAAACCCAAGCACUGCCUUGACAGCAGCCAGCAUGGCUGAUAGAAGAGACACAGAAGUCCAGCUGAUGCCAGACAGAGGGUGUCACUAGAGAGCCGUGCUAGGUGGGGGUCAUUCAAGUUGUCUUGGUGUAUGCAGACGUUGCUUCUAGAGAGUCAGAAGCUCUAUAUGCGUAGUGUUGGAGCAGAAUUUCGGGAUAGUGAUGGCAAGCCUCCUCCCAAGCCAGCUGGGGAGUAUGGGGAGGGGGUGGCCGGAGGAACCUGGCAUCCCCGGGUUAGGACCACAGAGGUGGCUCUGCCUGCAGCUGGGCCUCUGCCUCAUCCUGACUCCCCCUGCUUUGGUCAUGGCUCUUCUUGUCCUUCCUCUUCUCAGUGCAGGAGGACCCUGAAUCAAAUGCCUCAUCCUGGUUUGCAUUUUACCCUCGGAUGAAGCUUGUGGCGAACCCCAGGACUCUGUGUCUCCUGAGUCUCUGCAGACCUCGGGUCCUGGACCCAGAGACUCUUCUCCCUGGGACAGGAGGCACUGGGAUGGGUGGACAGGGGUGGCCUGGGGCACAGUAGCUGACGGGGGGACUUCCUAGCCUUCUGGGCCUUUCCAACUCUGAGUGUGACCUUCCUAUUCUUGAUCACAGCCCCCAACUUCAGAGCCUGCUAGAGCCUGCAGAAUGCGGCUUCAUCCUCUUCCUCUGUGAGAAAAGGCGGGGCCUGGCAGUCCCGCCAAUCUUGUAUAUUUGCUCCCCACCUCGGUGGUGAAUACAUUCUUGGGUGGUGAAUAGGUUCUCUCCUUGCCUUCACUCUAGAAAAGUCCCCUGUUUUGUGAUGUAGGAUGUGGUCAAUGACUGACUCGUCCCUUUGGACCAUAGACGCAGCUCUGAUUUCUGGUGUUCCUGGGCUCUGCACACAGCAGGAACCACUCUGGGCUUUCAGGGAUGCAUCUUCUUGCUCACUUUUUCUUGUUGGCUCUUCUCCCUGCGUCUUCUGCCACUGCCCUGUUCUGGGUGGGAGGCUGUCACGCUGUGGUGGGGGGUCCCCUCUCCUGCCUCCCCUCUUUGAUCCUUUUCUGUGAGGGUCUGCUGGGGUCCUGUGUGUCGUGCAUUGUUGAUAGAUUCCUGUCGUGCUUGCUGUCCUCCCCAUUCUAAGGGACCUCUGAAUGCCUGUGAGCAGUUUACAGGGGCCUCUCCUGGCCCCUUCACCCGAGGAAUUCCCGCAACGCGUGAGUUUGUGAGGGGCGGAUCCUGGGAGGAUGUGACGUCAGGUGAGAAGGGAGGGCCCGUCCUAGUCCGGUGGGCUCCUCUAACAAAGUGCAUUAGCCUGGGGAGUUACUGACGCCCGAAAUAUGUCGUCAAAGUUCUGAAGGCUGAGAAGUCCAAGAUCAAGAUGCCUGAGGAUUCAGUGCCUGGUGAGGACCCAUUCCUUAGGGCAGUGCCUCUAGCUGUGUCCUCAUGUGGCCGAAGGGGACAAGGGAGGUUGCUGGAGCCUGUUUGAUGAGAGCACUACCUUCCUUCAGGAGGGGAUUAUUCAGAAAGUCUGUCUGGUUUCAGGGCAUUCCCAAAGGCCCCACCUGUUCAUUCUACCCCAUUGGGAAUUAGGCUUCAACAUACAAAUUUGGGAGACACUGACAUUUAGGCCAUAGCACGUCAAAGGCAAAGUGAGGCUGAGUGUGGAAACCAUCCAAGAAUCUGGAUGUGGCCCAGGCAGAAGGAAACUCAAAGUGAUGGGGUGACCGAUGGUCCCUGGUCUGUGCAGGACUCAGCGGUGCGGAUGGCCCUGGGCACGGUGGCAGUGGCUGUUGGAGGAUGAUAGGGAACAUGUUGGUGGGGGGAGGGUGGAGCCCACUAUGAGUGGCAACUCCCUGGGGGCACAGGAAGCAAAGCUAGAGGUGGCUCCCCUCUCCCCUCCCUGCACACAGUGUCACCUCUGUGGUGGCCCUGUCAUCCGCCUCAGUUCACAGGUGUUGCUGUAACAACUCCUGAAAUUACCUCCAAAAGGAGGCUCGUGCAGGUGCCUGCAGGAGCCAGGAGGCCGAAGUGCAUCCUGAGUGUCCGGGGACAGGCCAGCCUGGUGGGGUCCACAGCCCCACAGUCCCAACGACUGCCUCAGAAAUGGGCAGAGAGCAUGCCUGGUUCUAGCUGGCAAGGCCCACAUCUCAGAGCUGUGGACAGUCAUGAAGGGUCCGUGAGCAUGGAGAGGGGGCAAAAAUGACCCAUGAACCUCAGGCCACUGUGCUGCCAUCCAGCCAAGUGCGGUACCAGCCCUUCGGGCCUCGAGAUCCUCUACCCUUCUCUGGGCCUUGCUGAUUUCCUCCUCCAGCCCCUCUGUUUGUGUACGCACAUACACACAGGCACGCACGCACACGCACACCCAGUGCAAUUUCUCUCUGCUCCCUGUACUCCCCAGAAUUCAAUGGGUUCCUCUUUCCUCCUCAGAGAUAUAGUCCUGGGCCCCAUCUCAGCCUGCAGAGGCCUAAACGUUUCCCAGGAUUGUCUUCUAAUUCUCAGGUCCUGCUUUAAAACAAAACCUAAACUAAACCUAAAAUGCUUUCUGAAAAGAAUAAUACACCAACAUAAAGUCCGGGUAUCCUAAGCAUGUGGUGUGUAUGGUGUCUGAAAUUGAAUAUGCUGUGAAACUGCCUGUGUCGAAACACAGUGUUUCCCAAGACCUGGAGGCUCUCUCUCUCCAGUUGCUGAUUGUGAUCACCUCUCCCGAUCACCGCUGAGCCCUGCAGGUCACCUUCUCCUGACCUAUUACACCACUGAUUGCUUAUGCUGGGCACAAUUUUAUACCCUUGCUGUUGUUCAGUCUAAUCAUCCCUAUAACCCUAUCGGAUCAUUCCCAUAUGACAGAGGAGAAAACUUGGGGACACAGGGGCUGUGUCCUGGCCAAGGCCUUGCUUGCAGCAAAAGGCAGAGCUGGGAUCUAGCCAGGAGCCCCUGCACAGUCCUGUUCUUCCCCCACUAAACUGAGCUGUGAAAUAGAUCAUGGCGGUCUGGAAAACGAGCUAACUCCGUGCCGAUGGAGGUGUUGAUGGAUGUCCACCACUCUCCACUUGGGAGGAAGCCUUAACAUUCCCCGCAGGUCUAGCUUCUCUCUGUGGCUGAGUACCUUGGGAAAGCGGGCUCAGAGGAGGAAAGGGACUUACUUGCCCAAGGGCCACAGCUGCCAAGUGGCAGGUAAGGGACCGUUAUUCUCCUGUCCCUUUCACAGAGGACAGGAGGAAAGUGAGGACAGGUGGUGUACAUGCAUCUUUUCCGCAGCAGGCCCAGAUCAGCUCUGCACACGGUGCUGACCUCAAAUUCAGCCCUAGAGGGGCCUGUCUCUGCCCUGAGUGAGUAUUGAGGUGCAGGCUUCUUCCCCUUUGUUCUGUCCAUUUCCAAAAAUGUGAACACACACCUCCAACAUGUUUCUGUGUAUAUUAUUGUGUGCAUAGAUACUACCAUUGUAAAAUAUUAUGCAGAUUAAUAAUGCACUAUGCCAUUGAAAAUUUCAAAAGAAAUGUGUAAUAAACAUUUAAAAUUAA